GGGCGGGAUGUAACCGGCUGCUGAGCUGGCAGUUCUGUGUCCCCAGGCUUCGGCCCGGCCGCCGCCGCACAUAAACUGCGAGGAGGAGCUUUACGACUUCUCGGUCUUCGGGGCCGGGCGCAGCAAGGGCCAGACUCUGCGCUAGCAGGCGCUGCGCGCCAACCGGCCGGCCCCUGUCGCAGAAGGUGCAACCGAUCGCACUGUCGCGCAGAAGCUCCUCAAUGGCCAGCGCCAGCUGCAGCCCCGGCUGCCCACUCGCCUCACCUGAGCCUGGGUGGAACAAUCCAAAGUUUUAAUCAAAGAAGGUGGUAUUCAGUUGCUGCUUACAAUAGUUGAUACCCCAGGAUUUGGAGAUGCAGUGGAUAAUAGUAAUUGCUGGCAGCCUGUUAUCAAUUACAUUGAUAGUAAAUUUGAGGACUACCUAAAUGCAGAAUCGCAAGUGAACAGAUGUCAGAUGCCUGGUAACAGGGUGCACUGUUGUUUAUACUUCAUUGCUCCUUCAGGACAUGGACCGUUACAUAACUGAAGACUCCCACCUUCAGGCAGGAUUGGGUAGUACAUGUUUGUAACUACCUGGCAUUGCCUUUUGUUGAGACUUAAACCAUUGGAUAUUGAGUUUACAAAGCAUUUGCAUGAAAAAGUGAAUAUCAUCCCACUUAUUGCCAAAGCAGACACACUCAUGCCAGAGGAAUGCCAACAGUUUAAAAAACAGAUAAAGAAAUCCAAGAACAUAAAGUUAAAAUAUAUGAAUUUCCAGAAACAGAUGAUGAAGAAGAAAAAAAACUUGUUAAAAAGAUAAAGGACCAUUUACCUCUUGCUGUGGUGGGUAGUAAUACUAUCAUUGAAGUUAAUGGCAAAAGGGUCAUAGGAAGGCAGUAUCCUUGGAGUGUUGCUGAAGUUGAAAAUGGUGAACAUUGUGAUUUUACAGUUUUAAGAAAUAUGUUGAUAAGACCUCAAAGGAGUUAAACCAGGCGACUUCCACCAGAUUUUCUUGAUUCUGUGUUUAUUCCAUGAGAAGCUGUGGGCUCGAUCCUGUACAAGUUCUAGAACUUCGUGGAACCUGCAGAACCUAUAUGGGCAGUUGAAAACACACGCAGGACUUGAAAGAUGUUACUAAUAAUGUCCACUACGAGAACUAUGGAAUCAGAAAACUGGCAGCUGUGACUUAUCAUGGAGUUGAUAACAAGAAGAAUAAAGGGCAGCUCACUAAGAGCCCUCUGGCACAAAUGGAAGAAGAAAGAAGGGAGCAAGUAGCUAAAAUUAAGAAGAUGGAGAUGGAGAUGGAGCAGGUGUUUGAGAUGAAGGUCAAAGAAAAAGUUCAAAAACUGAAGGACUCUGAAGCUGAGUCUGCAGAUGUGGAUCCUGACUCCUGAGAGAAGUAGCUCACCGUGACGAAGCUGCGUUUGCUUUUAUCGAUUUGCAAAUCAAAGAAGGGGGACAUAUUGGGAGAAGGCCCCCCAAAAUCUGGCCAUAAACUGGCCACAAAACUGGCCAUAAAAUCUCUGCAGCACUGUGACAUGCUCAUGAUGGCCAUAACGCCCACGCUGGAAGGUUUUGGGUUUACCGGAAUGAAGGCAAGGAACACCUGGCCUGCCCAGGGCAGAAAACCACUUAAAGGCAUUCUUAAACCACAAACAGUAGCAUGAGCGAUCUGUGCCUUAAGGGCAUGUUCCUGCUGCAGAUAACUAGCCAGACCCACCCCUUUAUUUCAGGCCAUCCCUUCAUUUCCCAUAAGGGAUACUUUUAGUUAAUUGAAUAUCUAUAGAAACAAUGCUAAUGACUGGUUUGCUGUUAAUAAAUAAGUGGGUAAAUCUCUGUUCGGGGCUCUCAGCUCUGAAGGCUGUGAGACCCCUGAUUUCCCACUUUACACCUCUA
Homo sapiens (human) is the source of this 1875-nucleotide long non-coding RNA. NCBI's taxonomy places the organism in Eukaryota, Metazoa, Chordata, Mammalia, Primates, Hominidae. The record is from Ensembl.